GCAUUGUUGGUCCAGCGGUAGGAUAUUUGCCUUCCAUCUCCGAAUACGGCGAGCAAAUGGCUCGGGUUCGACUCCCGGACAAUGCA
The sequence is a transfer RNA, 86 nucleotides long. It matches the Rfam family "tRNA". Rfam says of the family: Transfer RNA (tRNA) molecules are approximately 80 nucleotides in length. Their secondary structure includes four short double-helical elements and three loops (D, anti-codon, and T loops).